UACGGGGGGGGCGAGCGUUGUUCGGAAUUACUGGGCGUAAAGGGUUUGUAGGUGGCCUGCUAAGUCAGACGUGAAAUCCCUCAGCUUAACUGGGGAACUGCGUCUGAUACUGGCGGGCUUGAGGACAGGAGAGGAACGCGGAAUUCCAGGUGUAGCGGUGAAAUGCGUAGAUAUCUGGAGGAACACCGGUGGCGAAGGCGGCGCUCUGGACCGAGACUGACGCUGAGGCGCGAAAGCGUGGGGAGCAAACAGG
This 253-nucleotide ribosomal RNA is filed under the name uncultured bacterium. Its description in RNAcentral is "partial 16S ribosomal RNA". It matches the Rfam family "Bacterial small subunit ribosomal RNA", at positions 524 to 776 of the family's 1533-position model. The record is from RNAcentral.